Molecule: long non-coding RNA, 1550 nt
Filed under: Gallus gallus (chicken)
Lineage: Eukaryota; Metazoa; Chordata; Aves; Galliformes; Phasianidae
Description: lncRNA (ENSGALG00010029092.1)
Source: RNAcentral
AUUCUGCUGGAGAUCCCUGUGUAUCUGAGGCCUUCCAAAGUUCAAGUCUUCCCAUUCCUCCUCCAUCCACAAUGGCAGUUGUGUAUUCUCACCACUCAAAAGGGGAACAAUGUCCUUGUCCUCAGGAAAACAGUAGGUGACACUCAACUGUGGCACACAGAAGUAUGGGAUACGUUUCCUCAGAUCCUGGUGACCCAUCCAAGGGAAGCACAAGAGAGAACAUGCUGUUUUGGGAGCCCCUCACCCCGUGUCUGUGUUCACCUUGGGUUCUGAUAACCCACAGCCACUCUGCAUCACAGACUUACCUACCUGACCAAGGUGCUGAAGUGCCAAAGGCAUUUUUAAAUUUUUAUUUUAAUGGGCCCGGGAGUUUAAAUCUCAUUGACUUUCAAAUCGACUGUGCAGAUCAAUGCACAAUGCCCUGACAAGGCAAGAUGGUUUCCAACGGGACGUCCUCCUGCACAUCAGCCAGCCCUCUUCAAUGCUGCUCCAGCAUUGUGGGAUUCAGCUGCAAUCUCCUCCAACCCUGGAAUUUCUAAUGAGUCCUCAAGCCAGACCUUCAACUUACUUUGUGCAGAGAUAUAAGUAAGCAUCUGAUGGAACUGAAGCCUGACUCCCAUUGAAAUCUGGUGCCUAACCUGCUUAGAUGCAUCUGGAAAUCCUAUUAAAGAACUACCUUGCACCUUUAAGCACCUAAAUGCAUUUGAAAAUGCUUUCUUAGGUGACUCAGGGAUGGAAGGCCAAAACAUUUUGAGAGGAUUUGUGCUCCUGACUCACCCGUAGCUCCCUCAAGAAAUCUCUCUCUCUCUCUGCGUUGUGCUGAUGUCCCAUGUAACCUUCCUCUUUCAUUCCAUCUUGUGUUGUUCAUCGGUGAAGGACUCUAAAUAAUUCCUCCCCCUUCCUUACUGUUGACACUUCUCUGAGUAUUUGCAGGCCAUUAUUAAAUCACCUCUUUACUCAUCCUUUAUCUGAGCUGUACAUAAUUAGUUCCUUUAAUCUUUCCUCAUAGGUCAAUCCUUCUAAACCCUUGAUCAUCUUUAUCUCCUUUUCCUGGAGACCCUCCAAUUUGCUGACACUUUUUUUUUCUUUGCUUUCAUUUUAUUUUGCAUGGAGCAGCACAGCACAUGCCAUGAGCCCUGGGUGCUUUCUGUAGACUGCUCCCUGGGGCAUCGCCCCUACUUGGUGUCAGCAGUGUUGGCACUGGAUGGGGAAGGCGAGAAGAAGCACUUCAACCCAUGCAGGCCACAGCACCAGGCUGUUCCCCAGCUCUGGGUCCCAUAUACCUGUGCCUUCCCACCUGGGGAGCUCCAUCCUUCUUGCCAUGAAGGAUACUGCUGGCUCCCUUCCCAAGCAUGGAUGCACAGUGCUAGCACCUGUCCAGCUCAGCAAUGCAGGACUUUGGCAUGUGCAGCCCAGAAUAGCACGGCCUGCUUUGCUUUCCUCAUAAUAAUGCUAUUUCUGCUUUAUUUAUUUAUUUAUUGUAUUAUAUUUGUCCUUAGUCCUUCCCUCUAAGAAACCUUUCUCAGCUGCUAUUGCGCUCCCCUUCACAG